Molecule: ribosomal RNA, 400 nt
Filed under: phytoplankton environmental sample
Lineage: Eukaryota
Description: partial small subunit ribosomal RNA
Rfam family: Eukaryotic small subunit ribosomal RNA
Source: RNAcentral
AGCUCCAAUAGCGUAUAUUAAAGUUGUUGCAGUUAAAAAGCUCGUAGUUGAAUUUCUGUCAUAUGCAGGCCGGCGUGCUUUCGAGUAUUGUCUGGUCAGCAUUGAUAUCUUUCAGGUUACGCGUGCUUCUUUACUGGAGUUCGUUGUAUCCUGGACCUUUACUUUGAGAAAAUUAGAGUGUUUCAAGCAGGCCUACGCCUUGAAUACUACAGCAUGGAAUAAUAAGAUAGGACUUUGGUUCUUUCUUGUUGGUUCGGAGAACUAAGGUAAUGAUUAACAGGGACAGUCGGGGGCAUUCGUAUUUAACUGUCAGAGGUGAAAUUCUUAGAUUUGUUAAAGACGAACUACUGCGAAAGCAUUUGCCAAGGAUGUUCCCAUUAAUCAAGAACGAAAGUACGCA